CAGUCGCCGCGGGAAUACGUAGGCCCCGAGCGUUGUCCGGAUUUAUUGGGCGUAAAGCGAGCGCAGGCGGUUAGAUAAGUCUGAAGUUAAAGGCUGUGGCUUAACCAUAGUACGCUUUGGAAACUGUUUAACUUGAGUGCAAGAGGGGAGAGUGGAAUUCCAUGUGUAGCGGUGAAAUGCGUAGAUAUAUGGAGGAACACCGGUGGCGAAAGCGGCUCUCUGGCUUGUAACUGACGCUGAGGCUCGAAAGCGUGGGGAGCAAACAGGAUUAGAUACCCCUGUAGUCCCUGUCUCUUAUACA
This 301-nucleotide ribosomal RNA is filed under the name uncultured bacterium. RNAcentral describes it as "partial 16S ribosomal RNA". It matches the Rfam family "Bacterial small subunit ribosomal RNA", at positions 509 to 808 of the family's 1533-position model. The record is from RNAcentral.